This 361-nucleotide ribosomal RNA is filed under the name uncultured Rikenellaceae bacterium. RNAcentral describes it as "bacterial SSU rRNA". It matches the Rfam family "Bacterial small subunit ribosomal RNA", at positions 1022 to 1382 of the family's 1533-position model. Lineage: Bacteria; Pseudomonadati; Bacteroidota; Bacteroidia; Bacteroidales; Rikenellaceae. The record is from RNAcentral.
AAGGGCGGCCGGCGAGGUGCUGCAUGGUUGUCGUCAGCUCGUGCCGUGAGGUGUCGGGUUAAGUCCCAUAACGAGCGCAACCCCUACCGUUAGUUGCCAGCGGGUCAUGCCGGGAACUCUAGCGGAACUGCCAGCGUAAGCUGUGAGGAAGGCGGGGAUGACGUCAAAUCAGCACGGCCCUUACGUCCAGGGCUACACACGUGUUACAAUGGCCGGUACAGAGGGCAGCCACCCGCGAGGGGGCGCGAAUCCCGAAAGCCGGUCGCAGUUCGGAUCGGAGUCUGGAACCCGACUCCGUGAAGCUGGAUUCGCUAGUAAUCGCGCAUCAGCCAUGGCGCGGUGAAUACGUUCCCGGGCCUUU